UACGUAGGGUGCAAGCGUUGUCCGGAAUUAUUGGGCGUAAAGAGCUCGUAGGCGGUUUGUCGCGUCUGCUGUGAAAACCCGAGGCUCAACCUCGGGCCUGCAGUGGGUACGGGCAGACUAGAGUGCGGUAGGGGAGAUUGGAAUUCCUGGUGUAGCGGUGAAAUGCGCAGAUAUCAGGAGGAACACCGGUGGCGAAGGCGGAUCUCUGGGCCUUACCUGACGCUGAGGCGCGAAAGCUAGGGGAGCGAACAGG
This 253-nucleotide ribosomal RNA is filed under the name uncultured bacterium. RNAcentral describes it as "partial 16S ribosomal RNA". It matches the Rfam family "Bacterial small subunit ribosomal RNA", at positions 524 to 776 of the family's 1533-position model. The record is from RNAcentral.